AAAUUUUCCUCCAGGCUGUCCUUGGAGAAUUCCACCCUCUUUCAUUCUGGGGAGAAGAAGUUAAAAUUAGGGCCAGCCCUGCGGGACUGACAUGCCAGAUGCAGGGAAGCUGUCCCCAGAAAUAAGCGAGUUCCCACCGCGGCUGGGCGGGGCGGGAGCCUCGGGUCCCAACCCAGCGGAGGGACUCCUGGAAGGCCUGCCCCUUCCAAGUGUCUGCAAGGGCUCUGGUCCCAAGCUUUAAAAUCCUGAGCGAAGGCACUGCGGGCCGACCUCUCCUCUCCCAGCCAGUCGUGGCUGGCCUUUCAAAGUGUGCAGUUGUCUCCUCCCUGUCCAGCCCCAUCGUCGCCCAGGACCAGCUGGGCCGCGGUCUGACCUGAGGCUGCUGCUCAGCGCCGGGGCGCUGGCGCUCUCCAUUCGAGCACCUUCCAGCAUACCGCUCGGCUCCGGGAGCCGCUCUGCAAAGUUGGGCAGCUCAGAGCGCAAGCUUUGCCUCUCGACUUCUCCCUCCUUGGGUCCCCGGCGCCCCCGCCUCCCACGAUCCCUUUCACUAGGAGCAGCCAGUCCCAGCGGGCUGGCAACUUGCACCCCUUCCUAGUCAUCCUCCCUGAAACGCGACCAUGCUGUUAAGGGGCGUCCUCCUGGCGUUGCAAGCCCUGCAGCUCGCCGGUGCCCUCGACCUGCCCGCUGGGUCCUGUGCCUUUGAAGAGAGCACUUGCGGCUUUGACUCCGUGUUGGCCUCUCUGCCGUGGAUUUUAAAUGAGGAAGGCCAUUACAUUUAUGUGGAUACCUCCUUUGGCAAGCAGGGGGAGAAAGCUGUGCUGCUAAGUCCUGACUUACAGGCUGAGGAAUGGAGCUGCCUCCGUUUGGUCUACCAGAUAACCACAUCUUCGGAGUCUCUGUCAGAUCCCAGCCAGCUGAACCUCUACAUGAGAUUUGAAGAUGAAAGCUUUGAUCGCUUGCUUUGGUCAGCUAAGGAACCUUCAGACAGCUGGCUCAUAGCCAGCUUGGAUUUGCAAAACAGUUCCAAGAAAUUCAAGAUUUUAAUAGAAGGUGUACUAGGACAGGGAAACACAGCCAGCAUCGCACUAUUUGAAAUCAAGAUGACAACCGGCUACUGUAUUGAAUGUGACUUUGAAGAAAAUCAUCUCUGUGGCUUUGUGAACCGCUGGAAUCCCAAUGUGAACUGGUUUGUUGGAGGAGGAAGUAUUCGGAAUGUCCACUCCAUUCUCCCACAGGAUCACACCUUCAAGAGUGAACUGGGCCACUACAUGUACGUGGACUCAGUUUAUGUGAAGCACUUCCAGGAGGUGGCACAGCUCAUCUCCCCGUUGACCACGGCCCCCAUGGCUGGCUGCCUGUCAUUUUAUUACCAGAUCCAGCAGGGGAAUGACAAUGUCUUUUCCCUUUACACUCGGGAUGUGGCUGGCCUUUACGAGGAAAUCUGGAAAGCAGACAGGCCAGGGAAUGCUGCCUGGAACCUUGCGGAGGUCGAGUUCAGUGCUCCUUACCCCAUGGAGGUUAUUUUUGAAGUUGCUUUCAAUGGUCCCAAGGGAGGUUAUGUUGCCCUGGAUGAUAUUUCAUUCUCUCCUGUUCACUGCCAGAAUCAGACAGAACUUCUGUUCAGUGCCGUGGAAGCCAGCUGCAAUUUUGAGCAAGAUCUCUGCAACUUUUACCAAGAUAAAGAAGGUCCAGGUUGGACCCGAGUGAAAGUAAAACCAAACAUGUAUCGGGCUGGAGACCACACUACAGGCUUAGGGUAUUACCUGCUAGCCAACACAAAGUUCACAUCUCAGCCUGGCUACAUUGGAAGGCUCUAUGGGCCCUCCCUACCAGGAAACUUGCAGUAUUGUCUGCGUUUUCAUUAUGCCAUCUAUGGAUUUUUAAAAAUGAGUGACACCCUAGCAGUUUACAUCUUUGAAGAGAACCAUGUGGUUCAAGAGAAGAUCUGGUCUGUGUUGGAGUCCCCAAGGGGUGUUUGGAUGCAAGCUGAAAUCACCUUUAAGAAGCCCAUGCCUACCAAGGUGGUUUUCAUGAGCCUAUGCAAAAGUUUCUGGGACUGUGGGCUUGUAGCCCUGGAUGACAUUACAAUACAAUUGGGAAGCUGCUCAUCUUCAGAGAAACUUCCACCUCCACCUGGAGAGUGUACUUUCGAGCAAGAUGAAUGUACAUUUACUCAGGAGAAAAGAAACCGGAGCAGCUGGCACAGGAGGAGGGGAGAAACUCCCACUUCCUACACAGGACCAAAGGGAGAUCACACUACUGGGGCUACUACAUGUACAUUGAGGCCUCCCAUAUGGUGUAUGGACAAAAAGCACGCCUCUUGUCCAGGCCUCUGCGAGGAGUCUCUGGAAAACACUGCUUGACCUUUUUCUACCACAUGUAUGGAGGGGGCACUGGCCUGCUGAGUGUUUAUCUGAAAAAGGAAGAAGACAGUGAAGAGUCCCUCUUAUGGAGGAGAAGAGGUGAACAGAGCAUUUCCUGGCUACGAGCACUGAUUGAAUACAGCUGUGAGAGGCAACACCAGAUAAUUUUUGAAGCCAUUCGAGGAGUAUCAAUAAGAAGUGAUAUUGCCAUUGAUGAUGUUAAAUUUCAGGCAGGACCCUGUGGAGAAAUGGAAGAUACAACUCAACAAUCAUCAGGAUAUUCUGAGGACUUAAAUGAAAUUGAGUAUUAAGAAAUGAUCUGCAUUGGAUUUACUAGACGAAAACCAUACCUCUCUUCAAUCAAAAUGAAAACAAAGCAAAUGAAUACUGGACAGUCUUAACAAUUUUAUAAGUUAUAAAAUGACUUUAGAGCACCCUCCUUCAUUACUUUUGCAAAAACAUACUGACUCAGGGCUCUUUUUUUCUUUUUGCAUAUGACAACUGUUACUAGAAAUACAGGCUACUGGUUUUGCAUAGAUCAUUCAUCUUAAUUUUGGUACCAGUUAAAAAUACAAAUGUACUAUAUUGUAGUCAUUUUAAAGUACACAAAGGGCACAAUCAAAAUGAGAUGCACUCAUUUAAAUCUGCAUUCAGUGAAUGUAUUGGGAGAAAAAUAGGUCUUGCAGGUUUCCUUUUGAAUUUUAAGUAUCAUAAAUAUUUUUAAAGUAAAUAAUACGGGGUGUCAGUAAUAUCUGCAGAAUGAAUGCAGUCUUUCAUGCUAAUGAGUUAGUCUGGAAAAAUAAAGUCUUAUUUUCUAUGUUUUAUUCAUAGAAAUGGAGUAUUAAUUUUUAAUAUUUUCACCAUAUGUGAUAACAAAGGAUCUUUCAUGAAUGUCCAAGGGUAAGUCAGUAUUAAUUAAUGCUGUAUUACAAGGCAAUGCUACCUUCUUUAUUCCCCCUUUGAACUACCUUUGAAGUCACUAUGAGCACAUGGAUAGAAAUUUAACUUUUUUUUGUAAAGCAAGCUUAAAAUGUUUAUGUAUACAUACCCAGCAACUUUUAUAAAUGUGUUAAACAAUUUUACUGAUUUUUAUAAUAAAUAUUUUGGUAAGAUUUUGAAUAAUAUGAAUUCAGGCAGAUAUACUAAACUGCUUUUAUUUACUUGUUUAGAAAAUUGUAUAUAUAUGUUUGUGUAUCCUAACAGCUGCUAUGAAAUUAUAAAAUUACCUAAUAAAAAUAAUUUGAAAAUCUU
Molecule: RNA transcript, 3614 nt
Organism: Homo sapiens (human)
Lineage: Eukaryota; Metazoa; Chordata; Mammalia; Primates; Hominidae
Gene: MAMDC2
Gene name: MAM domain containing 2
Exons: 14
Source: RefSeq, marked validated